This 71-nucleotide transfer RNA is filed under the name bovine gut metagenome. It matches the Rfam family "tRNA". From Rfam's summary of the family: Transfer RNA (tRNA) molecules are approximately 80 nucleotides in length. The record is from RNAcentral.
GGGAUGUAGCUCAGUUGGUUAGAGCGCUACGUUCACAUCGUAGAAGUCGAAGGUUCGAGUCCUUUCAUCCC